Molecule: long non-coding RNA, 132 nt
Organism: Lynx canadensis (Canada lynx)
Lineage: Eukaryota; Metazoa; Chordata; Mammalia; Carnivora; Felidae
Exons: 4
Source: RefSeq, a predicted model, not a curated record
AACCAUAGCCAAAUCAUGGAAAUAGCCUAAAAUGUCCAGCAACUGAAGAAUGGAUGGAGAAGAUGUGGUUUAUAUACACGAUGGACUACUACUUGGCAAUGAGAAAGAAUGAAAUCUGGCCAUUUGCAGCAA